UUUGUUUGGGUCUGUUGUUGUAAAAGACUGUUGGGUCUUGGGCCUGCUAGGAUUUGGGUUGUAAAUGGGUAGAGGGUUUGGGCCCUGGGUCAAAAUGGGCCUGUAACAAAAGGACAAGGGAUUUUCUUCCCUGUUAUAAUCUUUGAGCACUUACUAUCUACAUUUAAUCUUCCUUGUUGUAUUUACUAAGUUUUAUUAUUUAUUUAUUUCAAAUUUUGGAUAAUUUUUAAGUUUAAAACU
RNAcentral lists this long non-coding RNA (240 nucleotides) under Gossypium raimondii (Peruvian cotton). Its description in RNAcentral is "long non-coding RNA (GRAI_LNC007336)". The record is from RNAcentral. Lineage: Eukaryota; Viridiplantae; Streptophyta; Magnoliopsida; Malvales; Malvaceae.